RNAcentral lists this ribosomal RNA (534 nucleotides) under uncultured bacterium. Its description in RNAcentral is "bacterial SSU rRNA". It matches the Rfam family "Bacterial small subunit ribosomal RNA", at positions 776 to 1304 of the family's 1533-position model. The record is from RNAcentral.
AAAUAGAUACCCGGGUAGUCCACGCCGUAAAACGAUGAGUGCUAAGUGUUAGAGGGUUUCCGCCCUUUAGUGCUGCAGCUAACGCAUUAAGCACUCCGCCUGGGGAGUACGGUCGCAAGACUGAAACUCAAAGGAAUUGACGGGGGCCCGCACAAGCGGUGGAGCAUGUGGUUUAAUUCGAAGCAACGCGAAGAACCUUACCAGGUCUUGACAUCCCACUGACCGGUAUAGAGAUAUACCUUUCCCUUCGGGGUACAGUGGUGACAGGUGGUGCAUGGUUGUCGUCAGCUCGUGCCGUGAGAUGUUGGGUUAAGUCCCGCAACGAGCGCAACCCUUGAUCUUAGUUGCCAGCAUUUAAGUUGGGCACUCUAAGGUGACUGCCGGUGACAAACCGGAGGAAGGUGGGGAUGACGUCAAAUCAUCAUGCCCCUUAUGACCUGGGCUACACACGUGCUACAAUGGAUGGUACAAAGGGCUGCAAGACUGCGAAGUCAAGCCAAUCCCAUAAAAACCAUUCUCAGUUCGGAUUGCAGG